This is a long non-coding RNA of Apodemus sylvaticus (European woodmouse), 2789 nucleotides long. RefSeq lists it as uncharacterized. The transcript has 3 exons. The record is from RefSeq and is a predicted model, not a curated record. NCBI's taxonomy places the organism in Eukaryota, Metazoa, Chordata, Mammalia, Rodentia, Muridae.
UGAGAAUAGCAGAUAGCUAGCAGGGAGUCCUUCAGCUGGACAAAGAAGCAGACGCAGGAGACAGCUGUGUGUGACCCAAAACUUGGAGGCCAGCCUGACCCAGCUAACCGCGGGAAAGACAGCUCGAUGGAUAAAAUCAAUGUUGUACAUUGAUGACCUGCGUUCACUUCCUGGAUCCCGUCGUGGAAGGAGAGAACCAACUUUUGAAAGUUGUCCUUUGACCUCCACAUGUGCGUCAUGGCACUCGAACACAUGUACACAUGUGUAUACAAGAAGAAUAAAUAUUAAGUGGCCACUUCAGGAACAUGGAGAUAAGCGUAUCCGAGCUGCCCUGGGGAAUGGAUGUGAGGUCACCUCAGUGUGUGCGGAGCAGAGAAGACCUGGAUCUUCCAGUUUGUGGACGCCAGCCUUCUGGGAUCACCUAGGAUGGAUGGGGUCUACCGCCAUCUUGGUCCCUGGCCUGACCUUCUCCUCAUUCCAGUGAUGAAUGGACUGGGCUGUGAUCUUGCUGUUUGACCCACAUCCCCCUUUAACCUGUGAUGGAUGGACACUUGCUAGGCACAUAUCCCCUCAAAGCAGAGGCAACAACCAACUUGUCAUUUAAAAGGGGAGAUUUAUGACGGUUAGCUAGAAGAAGUGUUUUUACAGAGGGAUAAUUGGUUGCUGGGGUGACAGUCACACCGCAGCUGGUGAGACGCUCAAGCUGGUGAGAGGCCUACUCCCUCCUUCCUUCAUGGUUUUCAUGGUGGGGGAGGUGAGGCCCAUAGCCAGAAGCCAGGGGAAACUGGCAAUUGUUAGCCUGAAGAACACGUGUUCUUUCUUUGAAUCUGUUUUGCGCAUUCUUUUGAGUUAGCCCCCAAAUAAUGGUCUCAGAUGUGUACCUUCUUUGGAUCAUGUCAGAAAGUGAAGAAAUAAUCUCUCUCUCUCUCUCUCUCUCUCUCUCUCUCUCUCUCUCUCUGUGUGUGUGUGUGUGUCUUUAUCUCUCUCUCUCUCUCUCUCUCUCUCUCUUAGGCAAGGUCUCAUGCAGUCCAGGCUGGCCUUGAACUCCUGAUCCUCCUGCCUUUGCUUCCCAAGUGCUAGAAUGCCAAGAGUAUACCCCCAGGCCUGAUUUAUGCAACGAGAACCCAGGGCUCCAAGCACCUUCAAGUGAGAAAGUGUUUAUUCUGUCUCACAGUUUUAGCCAACAAAGUGAGGAAGACUUGGCUUCAGGCCUAGGAGGCAUGGUAGGGCAAGCUGGUUACAUUUCUUAAGUGGCCAGGAAGGAGGGGGGGUGCACAGAGACAAUGAGACAGAAGGAGACAGACAGGGAGAAAAACAGAAAGACAUAGGCACAGAGAGAGAAUGCUGUAAUUUGUAAAGGCUCCACCAGCUCCCCACACAGCACCACCACCAGCUGGCAACCACAUGUUUAAACACAUGAAUCUAUGAGGCAUGUAAAAAAAUACCCCAAAACUAUAUUUCUUUAUUUAUUGGGUUGGGUAUGUGGAGGUUAGAGAACAACUGUAGAAAGACCACAGAGAAGUAAUCACAAUCCUCUGUUUAGACACGGCAAGGACCUGCAGAGAUGGACCACACUGGGAACGUUGUAUUAGUUACUUUGGUGUUACUGUGACAGAAUGCCAAACACAGCCACCUGAGGGAAGAAGAAAAGUUGUUGUUGUUGUAUUGUUGUUGUUUUGCUUAUAGUCGUGGGCUUCAGACCAUCAUAAUAGGGAAGGCUCAGCAGAGUGGCUCUAUCCUGAUGACAGACAUGCGUGAAACUGUUUCAUCAUGGUAGACCAGGAAGCUAAGAAUGGGCAGAAGCAAGGGCUGAGCUGGACUAUGACUUCUACCAACCCAUGUCUUAAAGACUUCACAGCUGUCUGCCAUGAGUGCCCACCAGGGGACAAACAUUCAAGACAGGAACCAGAGGAGGCAUUUCUGGUGUUUCCCACAGUUUCUUUGAGAAACAAGGGUGUUGGCCCCAUUGCGGCACAAGUUAUAUUUUUGCCAUUCUUACUUUUCUGUAAUUAGUGUUUCUGAGAGUUACCUGAGUCCUUCUGGAACAGCAUGGGUAUAAGUAAAUGAUAUUUUAUUUUAUUUUAUGUUCAUUGAUGUUCUGCUUGCAUGUAUGUCUGUAUGAGGGCAUCAGAUUCCCUAGAACUGGAAUUACAGACAGCUAUGAACUGCUGUGUGGGUGCUGGGAAUCGAACCUCCGUCCUUUGUAAGAGUAGCUGGUGAUCUUAACGGCUGAGCCACCUCUCUAUUCCCAAAUUGUUUUUUUAAACACACACACACACACACACACAGAGAAUGUUGAUAGGAAUAGGAAUGGAGACAUAAACCUGUAAUCCUUGCACUUAAGAGGCUGAGGCUAAAGCUGGGCGGUGGUGGCACACGCCUGUAAUCCCAGCACUUUGGGAGGCAGAGGCAGGCAGAUUUCUGAGUUCGAGGCCAGCCUGGUCUACAGAAUGAAUUCCAGGACAGCCAGGGCUAUACAGAGAAACCCUGGCUCAAAAAAAGGGGGGGGGAGGGUUGAGGCUAGAGGAUUGUGAAGUUAUAAAGUUAGGGUUGGCCUGGGCUACACAGCAAGACACGUGUGUCCAAAAGAAAAUGAAAUGCUUGAAAGCCCCAUUGCCUGGCUACACCCCUGCCGUAAGCUCCGCUGUAGUCCUGAUGUAGUACUAAGCGUUUGCUAUAUUUUCUCCCUCUGAGCUCCUGUCGUAGUGGGAAAGAGGGUGUAUUUUAAAGUUUGAAUUGAGAUCAAGACUCUACAUGAGAUCAAAAUAAUUUAUUAAAUUCAUACAUUC